This 465-nucleotide ribosomal RNA is filed under the name uncultured bacterium. Its description in RNAcentral is "partial 16S ribosomal RNA". It matches the Rfam family "Bacterial small subunit ribosomal RNA", at positions 338 to 795 of the family's 1533-position model. The record is from RNAcentral.
CCUACGGGGGACUGCAGUGGGGAAUAUUGCGCAAUGGGCGAAAGCCUGACGCAGCGACGCCGCGUGAGGGAUGAAGGUCUUCGGAUCGUAAACCUCUGUCAGCAGGGAAGAACGGUCACUGUGCUAAUCAGCAGUGAAUUGACGGUACCUGCAAAGGAAGCACCGGCUAACUCCGUGCCAGCAGCCGCGGUAAUACGGAGGGUGCGAGCGUUAAUCGGAGUUACUGGGCGUAAAGCGCUCGUAGGCGGUAUGUCAAGUCAAGGGUGAAAUCCCCGCGCUCAACGUGGGAACUGCCUUUGAAACUGGCAAACUGGAGUGUGUGAGAGGAUAGUGGAAUUCCAGGUGUAGGAGUGAAAUGCGUAGAUAUCUGGAGGAACAUCAGUGGCGAAGGCGACUAUCUGGCACAUAACUGACGCUGAGGAGCGAAAGCGUGGGUAGCAAACAGGAUUAGAUACCCCAGUAGUC